GUCCCUGAAGACGCACUGAAGGAGACGAGGCUGUCGAAAACGUUCCUCAGCCUCUCGGCCGUCCGCAUCUCCUUGCGCUAUUUCUGGCAGCCCAACCCGCACUGGCCUGUGCCCUCCUGGCUGGGGGUGGGGCCCAGCUGUUAGCAACGGCCCCGGGGAGGGGCAGCCGGAUGCUGUGGUCAGGCUUCAGGAAUGUUCAGCUGCCUCUGCUGGGCCCAGAACACAGAGGAGCUGCUGUCUGCGUGUUUUAGGCAGCUCUGGACACGUCCCCAUCACACGGACCGAGUGCCCCCCUGCAUCCCUCAGAAGGCCCUGAGCUGGUUCACCGUGGGCAGAGCGCUCCCCGGGGAGGACUCACGCCACCAGGAGGACUCUGUCUACUUGGGAGGACUCGCUGUCUCUACCUGGGAGGACUCGCUCUAUCCGGGAGGACUCGCUCUACCUGGGAAGACUCGCUAUCUCUACCUGGGAGGACUCACUCUACCUGAGAGGACUCACUCUAUCUGGGAGGAUUCUCUCUCCACCCAGGAGGACUCUGUCUACCUAGGAUGACUCACUGUACCUGGGAGGACUCACUCUAUCUGGGAGGACUCGCUCUACCUAGAAGGACUCUCUCUGUCUGGAAGGACUCUCUCUAAGAAGACUCUCUCUCUCUACCUGGGAGGACUGGCUCUACCUAGGAGAACUCACUCUACCUGGAAGAACUCACUGUACCUGGGAGGACUCACUCUACCUGGGAGGACUCACUGUCUCUACCUGGGAGGACUCUGUCUACUUGGGAGGAGUCUCUCUCUACCUGGGAGGAGUCUCUCUCUACCUGGGAGGACUCACUCUACCUGGGAAGACUCCCUGUCUCUGCCUGGGAGGACUCUCUCUACUGUGGCCCUGGGUGGCAUCCUCCCCCGGCCGCUCCAUGCUGGGGCUAUGUCUUGGGGAGCCCAUUCUCUCUGCCUCCUUCCAGUAUCCAGGAAAGGGCAGGGGCCAUUGAUGAGGAGAGUGCAGGGAUGGGCUUGGGGCCGUUCACCCACCAAGUCAAAGACUGGCCCGGGGGGAAGGGAGGGAAGAGUCCAUGGCAGGAGUCACGGGGAAGGUCUGGAGAGGGGAGACAGGAGGGGGACCCGCAGUAACUGAGGCACAGAAGGAAUCAGGGAGGGGGCACCACGGAGCUGCCAGGUCACCUUGGGAGGUGGAAAAACCUGUUUCUUGGGCUCAAGAAAACCGUGUCAACAUCCAAAGACAAUUACUUCCCCACAGGAGUUUUCAUUCCCUCUGGGCUGUCUGGAUCUUGGGAAAGUGACCAUCCUCCCCUGCUCCCCAGCUGCUGUCACCCAGUCCGGCCAGCCCCCCACUUUGCAGAGCCCACCCUGCCCCCACCCCCGGUCCCUGAAGCUUAUCAUCCAGGUCCUCCUUCACAGGUCUCCAACUAAGAAGAGUCCGGCGCCUGGGGGUGGGCUUCUGGGGGCUGGGCUGCUUCCUAUUGGAAGCACUGUCUCUGGGGUGUGGUCCCUUAACACAGGAGAAGACCCUACAAAGUUCCCCUUAGUGGAGCCCUUUCUGUGGGACAGGCUGUCUCUGAGCCCCAGUGACCAUUCUCUAUCUCAGCCACUGCCCAACCCUGGGGUGCACCAUCAGAGCCCCCGGUCGUGGGGGAACCCCAUGCUGGCAUCAGACAGGACUGUGGCCCCAGUCCCUACUCAGCUCUUCACGUUGCCUUUCAGUUGGCAGAUUUGGUGUUUGCAGUCAGGGCUCACGUAGGAAGUGGGGAGGGGGUGAAGUCUGCGGGGGUGUCCCAGAAAUCCCACAACUAAGCAUCUCUCCAGGGAGGGACUCUCCCACACACUGAAGGAAGCAUGUCACUGAUUGUGAAAAAUGGCCGCAGCACAAAUGCCCACUGAUAAGGAAGUGUGAGACGGGAAGACUCCCAGCAACAGCUGAGCGAGAAAAGCAAGUUGCGGGUGAGCGCUUAGAGGUGACUGUUCAUGAGAACUAAAGCCUCAUCCAUCAACACACACACACACCCCAUCUGUACAGGCACAGACACGCCGCGUGGGAGCCCGCCGGGAAGGACAGCCAAGGGGUAAGGGCCCCGGGGAGGACGGCGAGGUGAGGAAGGGGUGCUCUGUUUAGAUUCCCACCAGGAGGAGGUGUGUGCCUGCUUCAUGGGACGUGGGGUGGGGGGGAGCAGGGAGGGGGUGCUGGGCGGGGGGCGUUCUCACCCAGCCCAGCCAGAGAUGACCAGCUGGAGGUGUGUCCCCGCUCCCAACACCACGUGGAGGGAGCACGAAGACACCAGUGCUUCUUGCUUCUUUGAAAUCUGCUAAAAGUAGGUGUCGGGAAAGCAGCUGCGAGGAGCCUUUCCCGACACUGCGGUAACUCACUGCCCUGGGGCCCGGCGUCCACGUGAUCCCUCACACCCAGCAGACAACAGGCACCUGUUCCGAGGCCUGGGAGACCCAGGGCAGAAAAAAGGCCCGGCACCAGCCCAGACCCCUGCCUGCAGCCAGCGAGGGUGACAAGCUGGGUGCCCCGUGCCGCCCAGGACGCCACGCGCUCCUGAGGUCCUGCCAAUCCAGAGGACCUCUGCUCACAGUGCAGCAGGGCUGGGAACACGGGGGUGCUCCUUUUUUAAGUCAGGCUGCCUCUGAAGAUGGCACGCCCUUGACCUAGGAGAACGGCCGGCAGGGCCUCAGACCAGCAGGGCCGGAUCGCAGCCUCGCCCUUUCGACAGGAGACCGUGGGCCUGCCGUGUGAUCACCGGGAACAGGAGUGAGCCCAGACGGACCUCUUCACAAAGGAUGGAGUGGAGGGACCUUCUUGGACACAAGAUCUCAGCAGACUGGUGGAGACCUGAUGUGCCUGGGAGACAGGCCACCUGAGCCAGGAGGAGACAGAAUCAGAAAGCAGCAGCCACAGCAGCCACGGCAGGCCACACUCUCUGAACAUGGCCUGUGUCCACGCCUCUGAAGUCACCUGAUAUCCCUGCGGAAAUCUCUGCUCACUUUCAGCGCGUUUCAGUGAAAGCUGGUGUGGAAGGAAAGCCCCCGCAGGACAGACGUCUCACAGGCAGCAUCGACAAGCGGUCCUGAAGGUCAGCUGUUUCACCUGGGAAUGCCACUUGGCACAGUUUCCACUAUUUUAUAAGAGGCAAUUAUAUGUAUUACACAUCAACCCUAAAUCCCCACUCAGCACCGAAUGAAACACAAGAGACCCCGGUGUGGUGACAAGUUCUGUUUGUGAAGGAAAUGUUAGCACCACAUCCUGCUGGGAAGCAGCCUGGCUCUGAGGCACAAUUGCCAGGAAAACGGGGAAGCAUCGGCGAGGCGGCGACACCCAAGCCUUGCACCCCUUUGCUGACAUUUGACACCCAGCUGUUUGACAGUCACCUGCAUUUGACAAUUACCUGCAUGGAAGGUAAUUCAAGGCGUAGUUUUGCUUAAAAUAUUGUAUUGCAUUUUGAGGCUAGUAAUGCAGAUUUUCCCCUAUAUAAUCAAACACCAACUUUGUAUUGAGAGAUACAUACUUUCUACCAAUUGUUAUUAAAAUCCAAGAGGCAUUUACCAGGAAAACACUAACCAGGGAGAGUCUGGGAGGUUGCCUUUAUAUAGCGCAAUCAAUCAAGCAGUAGACUUGGAGAAUAAAGACGUGUACACAAGUUCUCAGAGACUGUUCUCAGAUCCUUUUUUAAAAGAAAAUCACACAAAGAUGUGGGCUUGUUUAAUUGGUAUUGAUAUACAAGUUACAUUUUAUAAAAUCCUGUUUCAACAUGUACUAUUCAGUGGCUAUUAGUACGUUCAUGCAACCAUGUUCAUAUACCAGCUGAGCCACCAGGGAAGCCCAAGAACACUGCAGUGGGUAGCCUAUCCCCUCUCCAAGGGAUCUUCCCAACCCAGGAAUCAAACUGGGGUCUCCUGCAUUGCAGGCGGACUCGUUACCACUAAUCUAAUUUCUGUUUCUAAUAAUUGUCCUAUUCUGGACAUUUCCAAUAAAAUGGAAAUAUACAUACAA
Bubalus bubalis (water buffalo) is the source of this 4005-nucleotide long non-coding RNA. RefSeq lists it as uncharacterized. The record is from RefSeq and is a predicted model, not a curated record. The transcript is spliced from 5 exons. NCBI's taxonomy places the organism in Eukaryota, Metazoa, Chordata, Mammalia, Artiodactyla, Bovidae.